This 304-nucleotide unclassified non-coding RNA is filed under the name Trichoderma sp. RNAcentral's name for it is "partial contains 5.8S ribosomal RNA, internal transcribed spacer 2, and large subunit ribosomal RNA". The stretch from base 1 to 71 matches the Rfam family "5.8S ribosomal RNA", at positions 84 to 154 of the family's 154-position model. The record is from RNAcentral. Lineage: Eukaryota; Fungi; Ascomycota; Sordariomycetes; Hypocreales; Hypocreaceae.
GUGAAUCAUCGAAUCUUUGAACGCACAUUGCGCCCGCCAGUAUUCUGGCGGGCAUGCCUGUCCGAGCGUCAUUUCAACCCUCGAACCCCUCCGGGGGAUCGGCGUUGGGGAUCGGGACCCCUCACCGGGUGCCGGCCCUGAAAUACAGUGGCGGUCUCGCCGCAGCCUCUCCUGCGCAGUAGUUUGCACAACUCGCACCGGGAGCGCGGCGCGUCCACGUCCGUAAAACACCCAACUUCUGAAAUGUUGACCUCGGAUCAGGUAGGAAUACCCGCUGAACUUAAGCAUAUCAAUAAGCGGAGGA